This 146-nucleotide ribosomal RNA is filed under the name uncultured Lactobacillus sp. RNAcentral's name for it is "partial 16S ribosomal RNA". It matches the Rfam family "Bacterial small subunit ribosomal RNA", at positions 383 to 521 of the family's 1533-position model. Lineage: Bacteria; Bacillati; Bacillota; Bacilli; Lactobacillales; Lactobacillaceae. The record is from RNAcentral.
CUGACGCAGCGACGCCGCGUGGGUGAUGAAGGCCUUCGGGUCGUAAAGCUCUGUUGUUGGUGAAGAAGGACAGGGGUAGUAACUGACCUUUGUUUGACGGUAAUCAAUUAGAAAGUCACGGCUAACUACGUGCCAGCAGCCGCGGU